ACGCUGGCGGCACGCCUUAUACAUGCAAGUCGAACGGAGUAGCAAUACUCAGUGGCAGACGGGUGAGUAACAUGUGGGUAUCUUCCCUUUGGUGAGGAAUAACACGAGGAAACUUGUGCUAAUACCUCAUAAGUCUUUACGGAGAAAGCUUUAUGCGCCAUUGGAUGAGCCCGCACUUGAUUAGUUUGUUGGUGGGGUAAUGGCCUACCAAGACUUUGAUCAAUAGCUGAUUUGAGAGGAUGAUCAGCCACAUUGGGACUGAGACACGGCCCAAACUCCUACGGGAGGCAGCAGUAGGGAAUCUUGCACAAUGGAGGAAACUCUGAUGCAGCGAUGCCGCGUGAGUGAAGAAGGCCCUUGGGUUGUAAAGCUCUUUCGUCGGGGAAGAAAAUGACUGUACCCGAAUAAGAAGGUCCGGCUAACUUCGUGCCAGCAGCCGCGGUAAUACGAAGGGACCUAGCGUAGUUCGGAAUUACUGGGCUUAAAGAGUUCGUAGGUGGUUAAAAAAGUUGGUGGUGAAAUCCCAGAGCUUAACUCUGGAACUGCCAUCAAAACUUUUUAGCUAGAGUAUGAUAGAGGAAAGCAGAAUUUCUAGUGUAGAGGUGAAAUUCGUAGAUAUUAGAAAGAAUACCAAUUGCGAAGGCAGCUUUCUGGAUCAUUACUGACACUGAGGAACGAAAGCAUGGGUAGCGAAGAGGAUUAGAUACCCUCGUAGUCCAUGCCGUAAACGAUGUGUGUUAGACGUUGGAAAUUUAUUUUCAGUGUCGCAGCGAAAGCAAUAAACACACCGCCUGGGGAGUACGACCGCA
This 809-nucleotide ribosomal RNA is filed under the name uncultured Pelagibacteraceae bacterium. Its description in RNAcentral is "bacterial SSU rRNA". It matches the Rfam family "Bacterial small subunit ribosomal RNA", at positions 33 to 890 of the family's 1533-position model. Lineage: Bacteria; Pseudomonadati; Pseudomonadota; Alphaproteobacteria; Candidatus Pelagibacterales; Candidatus Pelagibacteraceae. The record is from RNAcentral.